RNAcentral lists this ribosomal RNA (584 nucleotides) under Faxonius virilis. Its description in RNAcentral is "partial 16S ribosomal RNA". It matches the Rfam family "Bacterial large subunit ribosomal RNA", at positions 1765 to 2628 of the family's 2925-position model. Lineage: Eukaryota; Metazoa; Arthropoda; Malacostraca; Decapoda; Cambaridae. The record is from RNAcentral.
UACGUGAUUUGAGUUCAAACCGGAGAUCCCCGGGCCGUUUUUUUAAAAACAUGUCUGUAUGAGAGAUUUAUAAAGUCUGACCUGCCCAUUGGAAAACUGAAAGGCCGCGGUAUUAUGACCGUGCAAAGGUAGCAUAAUCAUUAGUUUUUUAAUUGAAGGCUAGAAUGAAUGGUUGGACAAGAAAUAAUCUGUCUUAAAUUAAUAUAUUGAAUUUAACUUUUAAGUGAAAAGGCUUAAAUGAUCUGAGGGGACGAUAAGACCCUAUAAAACUUUAUAUUUUAAGGUGGAAGAUAAUUUUAUUUUAAAAUUACUAUUUUAAAUUAUUUUGUUGGGGCGACAAGGAUAUAAGAAAGGGUAACUGUCUUUUAUUUUUACAAUAAUAUUUGAAUUAUUGAUCCUAAAAGGGAUUAAAGAUUAAGUUACUUUAGGGAUAACAGCGUAAUUUUCUUUGAGAGUUCUUAUCGACAAGAAAGUUUGCGACCUCGAUGUUGAAUUAAAGGUUCUUUAUAGAGUAGAGACUAUAAGAGAAGGUCUGUUCGACCUUUAAAAUUUUACAUGAUCUGAGUUCAAACCGGAGAGAUCUC